GCGCCGCUAGCUCAGUUGGUUAGAGCAGCUGACUCUUAAUCAGCGAGUCCGGGGUUCGAGUCCCUGGCGGCGCA
This 74-nucleotide transfer RNA is filed under the name Streptomyces rochei. RNAcentral describes it as "tRNA-Lys". It matches the Rfam family "tRNA". Rfam says of the family: Transfer RNA (tRNA) molecules are approximately 80 nucleotides in length. Their secondary structure includes four short double-helical elements and three loops (D, anti-codon, and T loops). Lineage: Bacteria; Bacillati; Actinomycetota; Actinomycetes; Kitasatosporales; Streptomycetaceae. The record is from RNAcentral.